CCUACGGGAGGCAGCAGUGAGGAAUAUUGGUCAAUGGACGAGAGUCUGAACCAGCCAAGUAGCGUGAAGGAUGACUGCCCUAUGGGUUGUAAACUUCUUUUAUAUGGGAAUAAAACAGGGUAUGCAUACCCUCUUGUAUGUACCAUAUGAAUAAGGAUCGGCUAACUCCGUGCCAGCAGCCGCGGUAAUACGGAGGAUCCGAGCGUUAGCCGGAUUUAUUGGGUUUAAAGGGAGCGUAGGUGGAUUGUUAAGUCAGUUGUGAAAGUUUGCGGCUCAACCGUAAAAUUGCAGUUGAAACUGGCAGUGUUGAGUACAGUAGAGGUGGGCGGAAUUCGUGGUGUAGCGGGGAAAUGCUUAGAUAUCACGAAGAACUCCGAUUGCGAAGGCAGCUCAAUGGACUGCAACUGACACUGAUGCUCGAAAGUGUGGGUAUCAAACAGGAUUAGAUACCCCAGUAGUC
RNAcentral lists this ribosomal RNA (460 nucleotides) under uncultured bacterium. RNAcentral describes it as "partial 16S ribosomal RNA". It matches the Rfam family "Bacterial small subunit ribosomal RNA", at positions 338 to 795 of the family's 1533-position model. The record is from RNAcentral.